GCCCUCAAAAUAAUUUUCCUCAAAGAUAUUUUUUUUUUUAAAUUAAAUUUUUAGGCUAAGCAGGGUUAGGCCUGGAUAGUACUUGGUUGGGAGACUGCCCGAGAAUACCGGGUGUUAUAGGCU
This 123-nucleotide ribosomal RNA is filed under the name Microcebus murinus (gray mouse lemur). Lineage: Eukaryota; Metazoa; Chordata; Mammalia; Primates; Cheirogaleidae. The record is from RNAcentral.